CCUACGGGAGGCAGCAGUGAGGAAUAUUGGACAAUGGGCGCGAGCCUGAACCAGCCAAGUCGCGUGAAGGAUGACUGCCCUACGGGUUGUAAGCUUCUUUUAUAGAGGAAUAAAGUGAGGUACGUGUGCCUUUUUGUCUGUCCUUUAUGAAUACAGAUGGGCUAACUACGUGCCAGCAGCCGCGGUAAUACGGAGGAUCCGAGCGUUAUCCGGAUUUAUUGGGUUUACAGGGAGCGUAGAUGGGUUGUUAAGUCAGUUGUGAAAGUUUGCGGCUCAACCGUACAAUUGCAAUUGAUACUGGCAGGCUUGAGUACAGAUGAGGUAGGCGGAAUUCGUGGUGUAGCGGUGAAAUGCUUAGAUAUCACGAAGAACUCCGAUUGCGAAGGCAGCCUACUAAACUGCAACUGACAUUGAUGCUCGAAAGUGUGGGUAUCAAACAGGAUUAGAUACCCUGGUAGUC
This 460-nucleotide ribosomal RNA is filed under the name uncultured bacterium. RNAcentral's name for it is "partial 16S ribosomal RNA". It matches the Rfam family "Bacterial small subunit ribosomal RNA", at positions 338 to 795 of the family's 1533-position model. The record is from RNAcentral.